This 730-nucleotide long non-coding RNA is filed under the name Monodelphis domestica (gray short-tailed opossum). RNAcentral's name for it is "lncRNA (ENSMODG00000037639.1)". Lineage: Eukaryota; Metazoa; Chordata; Mammalia; Didelphimorphia; Didelphidae. The record is from RNAcentral.
GUGACAGGAGCACUGUAUGUGUUGGCGCUGCAAAGCACAGCGUUGCUCAUGUACAGCACUACUUCUGGUGACAUAAUCCUUUGCGUGGCGCCUUAUUCUGAGAGUAGCUGAAUGAGAACGAGGCACCUCACAAAGGAUGAUGUGGCUGCACAAUGGAAGAUGUCAGCAUGGUGAGCGGUGAUCUGGGGGAGGGGAUUCCACACUGUGUAUACUGCUGCCCGGUAUAGUGGUGGUGGUGAUGGGCCUGUGCAAGGUGUGACAGGCCCAUCCCAGCCAGCGCUGUAGCCUCCCCUAUCCCAGACAGCGGUAUAAAGAUUUGUUCAUAGUCCGACCCUCCAACGGUCUGAGGGACAGUGAACUGGCCCCCUGUGUAAAAAGUUUGGGGACCUCAGAUCUAGAUCGUUGGCUGGAACCCUCAAGGGCCUGGGGAAAGGGUGCUCCAGAGAGCAAAGUAACUAGAACUCCUAAGCUGUCUCCUCAAGAUGGGUGGAGCUUUAUUCUGCUGAGCUCCAGAAAGCAAAACCCUAAGCUGUGGCAUCAGCUGCCUUGGGAGGCAUUUCAAAGAAAACAGAAAUCCAAUCCCAAAGAGAAGCAGCAGCCACAGGACUCUCCUGCUAGACACAACUUGAAAGCUGCUGCCUCACUCCUUCACUCAAGAGCCCCAAAUACAGUGGACCCCUUCCUCCUAGCACUCGUUCUAACAUGUCAAAGCAGGAACUGGAAGAGAUGA